Molecule: ribosomal RNA, 231 nt
Filed under: uncultured Pseudomonas sp.
Lineage: Bacteria; Pseudomonadati; Pseudomonadota; Gammaproteobacteria; Pseudomonadales; Pseudomonadaceae
Description: partial 16S ribosomal RNA
Rfam family: Bacterial small subunit ribosomal RNA
Source: RNAcentral
AAUCUGCCUGGUAGUGGGGGACGAACGUUUCGAAAGGAACGCUAAUACCGCAUACGUCCUACGGGAGAAAGCAGGGACCUUCGGGCCUUGCGCUAUCAGAUGAGCCUAGGUCGGAUUAGCUAGUUGGUGAGGUAAUGGCUCACCAAGGCGACGAUCCGUAACUGGUCUGAGAGGAUGAUCAGUCACACUGGAACUUAGACACGGUCCAGACUCCUACGGGAGGCAGCAGUC